UGGCUCAGUUGGUAGAGCAUGGUGUUUGCAACGCCAGGGUUGUGGGUUUGAUCCCAC
RNAcentral lists this transfer RNA (57 nucleotides) under Salmo salar (Atlantic salmon). It matches the Rfam family "tRNA", at positions 8 to 63 of the family's 71-position model. From Rfam's summary of the family: Transfer RNA (tRNA) molecules are approximately 80 nucleotides in length. Their secondary structure includes four short double-helical elements and three loops (D, anti-codon, and T loops). Lineage: Eukaryota; Metazoa; Chordata; Actinopteri; Salmoniformes; Salmonidae. The record is from Rfam by way of RNAcentral.